CCAGUUCAACCCAGUUGCUCCCAGUUGCUCCCAGUUGCCCCCAUUCGUCCCAGUUGCUCCCAGUUGCUCCCAUUGCUCCCAGUUGCUCCCAGUUACUCCCAGUUGCCCC
Long non-coding RNA from Tympanuchus pallidicinctus (lesser prairie-chicken), 109 nucleotides. RefSeq lists it as uncharacterized. The transcript has 3 exons. Lineage: Eukaryota; Metazoa; Chordata; Aves; Galliformes; Phasianidae. The record is from RefSeq and is a predicted model, not a curated record.